This 18-nucleotide unclassified non-coding RNA is filed under the name Chlamydomonas reinhardtii. Its description in RNAcentral is "small RNA Cre_3298". The record is from RNAcentral. Lineage: Eukaryota; Viridiplantae; Chlorophyta; Chlorophyceae; Chlamydomonadales; Chlamydomonadaceae.
UGGCCCGCGCCGCCAUGC